CCGUCUUGAAACACGGACCAAGGAGUCUAGCAUGUGCGCGAGUCAUUGGGACGAGACUAAACCUAAAGGCGAAAUGAAAGUGAAGGUCCGCCUCGCGCGGACCGAGGGAGGAUGGGCACGCUCUCGGGCGGCCCCGCACUCCCGGGGCGUCUCCUUCUCAUCGCGAGAUGAGGCGCACCCAGAGCGUACACGCUGGGACCCGAAAGAUGGUGAACUAUGCCUGGUCAGGACGAAGUCAGGGGAAACCCUGAUGGAGGUCCGUAGCGAUUCUGACGUGCAAAUCGAUCGUCGGAACUGGGUAUAGGGGCGAAAGACUAAUCGAACCAUCUAGUAGCUGGUUCCCUCCGAAGUUUCCCUCAGGAUAGCUGGCGCUCGCCGCGCGCGAGUCUCAUCCGGUAAAGCGAAUGAUUAGAGGCAUUGGGGUCGAAACGGCCUCAACCUAUUCUCAAACUUUAAAUGGGUGAGAUCUCCGGCUUGCUCGAACACGUGAAGCCGCGAGAUUUCGGAUCAGAGUGCCAAGUGGGCCACUUUUGGUAAGCAGAACUGGCGCUGUGGGAUGAACCAAACGCAGAGUUAAAGCGCCCAAAUCGACGCUUAUGGGAUACCAUGAAAGGCGUUGGUAACUUAAGACAGCAGG
Molecule: ribosomal RNA, 637 nt
Filed under: Aegus laevicollis formosae
Lineage: Eukaryota; Metazoa; Arthropoda; Insecta; Coleoptera; Lucanidae
Description: eukaryotic LSU rRNA
Rfam family: Eukaryotic large subunit ribosomal RNA
Source: RNAcentral